AUGCUGUGGAGUGUCAGAUCUAGUCGCGUGAGUGGCAGAGUCAUCGGCUCGGGUGGAGCGCGGCCUCAGGGCCGGCUGGGAACUUGGAGUGGCGGCUCUGGAGAGCACCUCGGUGCUAUGGAGUGGUCGUCGACUCUUGUGGAGUGUGGCCUCAGGGCUAGCAUGUGUGAGUUGAUGAGGUUUGCAAGCCGAAGUGGCAGCUCCGGGUCGUGUGGUAGGAUGGCAACUCUGGUCGUUUGGGCGACAGUGAAGUUGGCUUAUUGGGUAUGCAGCCCCGGGGUGUGUUUCGUUGCAUUGGUUUUCGGCCAGUUUUUUUUUAUAAACUGGCCAAUUCUCUUCUUAAAGCAAAGGCAGAGCUCCCGCCUGUUCUAA
This 372-nucleotide ribosomal RNA is filed under the name Triticum aestivum (bread wheat). RNAcentral describes it as "partial small subunit ribosomal RNA". Lineage: Eukaryota; Viridiplantae; Streptophyta; Magnoliopsida; Poales; Poaceae. The record is from RNAcentral.